RNAcentral lists this ribosomal RNA (279 nucleotides) under Campylobacter jejuni. RNAcentral describes it as "partial 23S ribosomal RNA". It matches the Rfam family "Bacterial large subunit ribosomal RNA", at positions 1904 to 2182 of the family's 2925-position model. The record is from RNAcentral. Lineage: Bacteria; Pseudomonadati; Campylobacterota; Epsilonproteobacteria; Campylobacterales; Campylobacteraceae.
GCUCUUGAUCGAAGCCCGAGUAAACGGCGGCCGUAACUAUAACGGUCCUAAGGUAGCGAAAGUCCUUGUCGGUUAAAUACCGACCUGCAUGAAUGGCGUAACGAGCUGGGAGCUGUCUCAAAGAGGGAUCCAGUGAAAUUGUAGUGGAGGUGAAAAUUCCUCCUACCCGCGGCAAGACGGAAAGACCCCGUGGACCUUUACUACAGCUUGACUCUGCUACUUGGAUAAGAAUGUGCAGGAUAGGGGGGAGGCUUUGAGUAUAUGACGCCAGUUGUAUAU